GAACGGGUGAGUAACACGUGGGCAAUCUGCCCUUCACUCUGGGACAAGCCCUGGAAACGGGGUCUAAUACCGGAUAANACUCCUGCCUGCAUGGGCGGGGGUUGAAAGCUCCGGCGGUGAAGGAUGAGCCCGCGGCCUAUCAGCUUGUUGGUGGGGUAAUGGCCCACCAAGGCGACGACGGGUAGCCGGCCUGAGAGGGCGACCGGCCACACUGGGACUGAGACACGGCCCAGACUCCUACGGGAGGCAGCAGUGGGGAAUAUUGCACAAUGGGCGAAAGCCUGAUGCAGCGACGCCGCGUGAGGGAUGACGGCCUUCGGGUUGUAAACCUCUUUCAGCAGGGAAGAAGCGAAAGUGACGGUACCUGCAGAAGAAGCGCCGGCUAACUACGUGCCAGCAGCCGCGGUAAUACGUAGGGCGCAAGCGUUGUCCGGAAUUAUUGGGCGUAAAGAGCUCGUAGGCGGCUUGUCACGUCGGAUGUGAAAGCCCGAGGCUUAACCUCGGGUCUGCAUUCGAUACGGGCUAGCUAGAGUGUGGUAGGGGAGAUCGGAAUUCCUGGUGUAGCGGUGAAAUGCCCAGAUAUCAAGAGGAACACCGGUGGCGAAGGCNGAUCUCUGGGCCAUUACUGACGCUGANGAGCGAAA
Molecule: ribosomal RNA, 644 nt
Filed under: Streptomyces sp. 5112_4
Lineage: Bacteria; Bacillati; Actinomycetota; Actinomycetes; Kitasatosporales; Streptomycetaceae
Description: bacterial SSU rRNA
Rfam family: Bacterial small subunit ribosomal RNA
Source: RNAcentral